GGGGAAUAUUGCGCAAUGGGGGAAACCCUGACGCAGCAAUACCGCGUGAGUGAAGAAGGUUUUCGGAUCGUAAACUUCUUUUAAGGGGGAAGAGUAGAAGACGGUACCCCUUGAAUAAGUCCCGGCUAACUACGUGCCAGCAGCCGCGGUAAUACGUAGGGGACAAGCGUUGUCCGGAUUUACUGGGCGUAAAGGGCACGCAGGCGGUUUUUUAAGUCAGAUGUGAAAGGUACCGGCUCAACCGGUGACAUGCAUUUGAAACUGAAAGACUUGAGUAUUGGAGAGGCAAGUGGAAUUCCUAGUGUAGCGGUGAAAUGCGUAGAUAUUAGGAGGAACACCGGUGGCGAAGGCGGCUUGCUGGACAAAUACUGACGCUGAGGUGCGAAAGCGUGGGGAGCAAACA
This 403-nucleotide ribosomal RNA is filed under the name uncultured Acetobacterium sp. RNAcentral's name for it is "bacterial SSU rRNA". It matches the Rfam family "Bacterial small subunit ribosomal RNA", at positions 356 to 774 of the family's 1533-position model. Lineage: Bacteria; Bacillati; Bacillota; Clostridia; Eubacteriales; Eubacteriaceae. The record is from RNAcentral.